GACGAACGCUGGCGGCGCGCUUAACACAUGCAAGUCGAACGGAAAGGCCCUUCGGGGUACUCGAGUGGCGAACGGGUGAGUAACACGUGGGUGAUCUGCCCUGCACUUUGGGAUAAGCCUGGGAAACUGGGUCUAAUACCGAAUAUGAUCAUCGGCUUCAUGGUCGGUGGUGGAAAGCUUUUGCGGUGUGGGAUGGGCCCGCGGCCUAUCAGCUUGUUGGUGGGGUAAUGGCCUACCAAGGCGACGACGGGUAGCCGGCCUGAGAGGGUGACCGGCCACACUGGGACUGAGAUACGGCCCAGACUCCUACGGGAGGCAGCAGUGGGGAAUAUUGCACAAUGGGCGCAAGCCUGAUGCAGCGACGCCGCGUGAGGGAUGACGGCCUUCGGGUUGUAAACCUCUUUCAGCACAGACGAAGCGCAAGUGACGGUAUGUGCAGAAGAAGGACCGGCCAACUACGUG
This 462-nucleotide ribosomal RNA is filed under the name uncultured bacterium. RNAcentral's name for it is "partial 16S ribosomal RNA". It matches the Rfam family "Bacterial small subunit ribosomal RNA", at positions 28 to 507 of the family's 1533-position model. The record is from RNAcentral.